Molecule: ribosomal RNA, 468 nt
Filed under: uncultured bacterium
Lineage: Bacteria
Description: partial 16S ribosomal RNA
Rfam family: Bacterial small subunit ribosomal RNA
Source: RNAcentral
GACGAACGCUGGCGGCGUGCUUAACACAUGCAAGUCGAACGGAAAGGCCCUGCUUUUGUGGGGUGCUCGAGUGGCGAACGGGUGAGUAACACGUGAGUAACCUGCCCUUGACUUUGGGAUAACUUCAGGAAACUGGGGCUAAUACCGGAUAGGAGCCCCUGCUGCAUGGUGGGGGUUGGAAAGUUUCGGCGGUUGGGGAUGGACUCGCGGCUUAUCAGCUUGUUGGUGGGGUAGUGGCUUACCAAGGCUUUGACGGGUAGCCGGCCUGAGAGGGUGACCGGCCACAUUGGGGCUGAGAUACGGCCCAGACUCCUACGGGAGGCAGCAGUGGGGAAUAUUGCACAAUGGGCGGAAGCCUGAUGCAGCAACGCCGCGUGCGGGAUGACGGCCUUCGGGUUGUAAACCGCUUUCGCCUGUGACGAAGCGUGAGUGACGGUAAUGGGUAAAGAAGCACCGGCUAACUACGUG